UACGGAGGGUGCGAGCGUUGUCCGGAAUCACUGGGCGUAAAGGGCGCGUAGGUGGCGCGGGCAGUCAACGGUGAAAGUUCGGGGCGCAACCCUGAAUCGGCCGUCGAUACUCCCGGGCUUGAGCACUGUAGAGGCAGAUGGAAUUCCGGGUGUAGCGGUGGAAUGCGUAGAGAUCCGGAAGAACACCGGUGGCGAAGGCGGUCUGCUGGGCAGUAGCUGACACUGAGGCGCGACAGCGUGGGGAGCAAACAGG
Molecule: ribosomal RNA, 253 nt
Filed under: uncultured bacterium
Lineage: Bacteria
Description: partial 16S ribosomal RNA
Rfam family: Bacterial small subunit ribosomal RNA
Source: RNAcentral